This is a non-coding RNA of Arabidopsis thaliana (thale cress), 161 nucleotides long. NCBI's taxonomy places the organism in Eukaryota, Viridiplantae, Streptophyta, Magnoliopsida, Brassicales, Brassicaceae. The record is from RefSeq.
UCAAUUUAGAUAUGUGAGAAAACCGGUUGGAACUUGCCUUAACCAAGAAAAGCUACAAAAUAUUUUUUUUCUGACAAAAAAAAGAAAAAGAAAAUCGAUUUUGUGGUUUUCUUGGUUAAGCCAGGUUCAAACCGAUUUACAUGCAUGUGUUGGAUGUGUGA